RNAcentral lists this RNase P RNA (372 nucleotides) under Candidatus Tectomicrobia bacterium RIFCSPLOWO2_12_FULL_69_37. RNAcentral describes it as "RNase P RNA component class A". It matches the Rfam family "Bacterial RNase P class A". Rfam says of the family: Ribonuclease P (RNase P) is a ubiquitous endoribonuclease, found in archaea, bacteria and eukarya as well as chloroplasts and mitochondria. Its best characterised activity is the generation of mature 5'-ends of tRNAs by cleaving the 5'-leader elements of precursor-tRNAs. Cellular RNase Ps are ribonucleoproteins. Lineage: Bacteria; Pseudomonadati; Candidatus Tectimicrobiota. The record is from RNAcentral.
GGAGCGGGCCGCGCGGCCGCUCGCGGCUUCGCGCCGCGGGAGGAAAGUCCGGGCUCCGCAGGGCAGGGUGGUGGAUAACGUCCACCGGGGGCAACCCCAGGGAAAGUGCCACAGAGAGCAGACCGCCCCGGGCCUCGGCCCGGGGCAAGGGUGAAACGGUGCGGUAAGAGCGCACCAGCAGCCCGGGUGACCGGGCUGGCUCGGCAAACCCCACCCGGAGCAAGGCCGAAUAAGGAGACGUUCGAGGGUGGCCCGCCCGAUGUCUCCGGGUUGGCCGCAUGAGGCGGAGGGCAACCUCCGUCCCAGAUGGAUGGUCGCGGGCCCGCCCCUCGGGGCGGGCGACAGAACCCGGCUUACAGGCCCGCUCCGGUU